UGAAGAUAAAGCCCUUUGGCCCACCAGCC
Molecule: small RNA, 29 nt
Filed under: Bombyx mori (domestic silkworm)
Lineage: Eukaryota; Metazoa; Arthropoda; Insecta; Lepidoptera; Bombycidae
Description: ovarian small RNA-30900
Source: RNAcentral